GAUGAACCCUAAAAAGUUCUAAAAGCACAAAGGUUUGGUCCUGGCCUUAUUAUCAAUUGUUUCUCAACUUACACAUGCAAGUCUCAGCACUCCGGUGAGGAAGCCCUUAAACCCUACCCCAGGAUAAGGAGCCGGUAUCAGGCGCAACUUCUUGCCCACGACACCUAGUUUCCACCACGCCCCCAAGGGUAAUCAGCAGUGAUAAACAUUAAUUAUAAGCGACAGCUUGACUUAGUUAGAGAGAAGAUAGUUGGCUAAUACGGUGCCAGCCGCCGCGGUUAGACCCCUGGACUAAAAUUGAUAAUCAUCGGCGUUAAGCGUGAUUAAAGUUAUUACAAGAUUAGAGUAAAACUUCUUGCCCAGCUGUGAAAAGCAUGCAUUUAGGAACCCCAUGAACGAAAGUCACUCUAUCAAAUGCUUGAAUACACGACAGCUAAGAGCACAAACUGGGAUUAGAGACCCCACUAUGCCUAGCCGUAAAAUAUUAACUCACAACCAAAAACGCCUGGGAACUACGGGCUAAGCCUAAAACCCAAAGGACUUGACGGUGUCCCACCCAACUAGAGGAGCCUGUCCUAUAAUCGAUAACCCCCGCUAAACCUCACCUCUCUUUGCUUUCUCAGCCUGUAUACCUCCGUCGCAAAUCAACCGUGUGAACGCCAAAUAGUAUGAUUUAAUGGCCCCACGCCAAAACGUCAGGUCAAGGUGCAGCCCAUAGAGAGGGAAGUGAUGGGCCACAAUCUCUAAUCUAGAACAAACGAACUACUGCAUAUGAAAUUCAGUUAUGAAGGAGGAUUUAGUAGUAAAGAGAAAACAAUGUGUUCUCUUUAACACGGCCCUGGGACGCGUACACACCGCCCGUCACCCUCUUCGAAAAUAUACACCUAGCUUUCUAACUCUAAACAAUAAAUA
RNAcentral lists this non-coding RNA (912 nucleotides) under Fejervarya sp. Assam. RNAcentral describes it as "partial 12S ribosomal RNA". It matches the Rfam family "Bacterial small subunit ribosomal RNA", at positions 191 to 1447 of the family's 1533-position model. The record is from RNAcentral. Lineage: Eukaryota; Metazoa; Chordata; Amphibia; Anura; Dicroglossidae.